AUGAACGCUGGCGGCGUGCCUAACACAUGCAAGUCGAACGGAGUUGUCACCAUGAAGUUUUCGGAUGGAUUGGUAACAACUUAGUGGCGGACGGGUGAGUAACGCGUGGGUAACCUGCCUCAUACUGGGGGAUAACAGCUGGAAACGGCUGCUAAAACCGCAUAAGAUCGCAUCACCGCAUGGUGAGGCGGUUAAAUAUCGAAAGAUAGGUAUGAGAUGGGCCCGCGUCUGAUUAGCUAGUUGGUGAGAUAAGAGCCCACCAAGGCGACGAUCAGUAGCCGGCUUGAGAGAGUGACCGGCCACAUUGGGACUGAGACACGGCCCAAACUCCUACGGGAGGCAGCAGUGGGGAAUAUUGCACAAUGGGGGAAACCCUGAUGCAGCGACGCCGCGUGAGUGAAGAAGUGCUUCGGCAUGUAAAGCUCUAUCAGCAGGGAAGAAGAUGACGGUACCUGACUAAGAAGCCCCGGCUAACUACGUG
RNAcentral lists this ribosomal RNA (481 nucleotides) under uncultured bacterium. RNAcentral describes it as "bacterial SSU rRNA". It matches the Rfam family "Bacterial small subunit ribosomal RNA", at positions 29 to 507 of the family's 1533-position model. The record is from RNAcentral.